This 855-nucleotide ribosomal RNA is filed under the name uncultured bacterium. RNAcentral's name for it is "partial 16S ribosomal RNA". It matches the Rfam family "Bacterial small subunit ribosomal RNA", at positions 524 to 1381 of the family's 1533-position model. The record is from RNAcentral.
UACGAGAGGAGCGAGCAUUAUUCGAAAUGAUUAGGCGUAAAGGGUUCGUAGGUUGUUUUUUAAGUUGAAAAAAAAAAAUUAAAGCUUAACUUUAUUUAUUUUUUCAAAACUGAUAAACUAGAGUAUAAAUAGAGGAUAAUAGAAUUCUUAUUGUAAGGAUAAAAUCUUUUAAUAAUAAGAGGAAUUUUCAAGGCGAAGGCAAUUAUCUGGGUAUAUACUGACAUUGAGGAACGAAAGCUUGGGGAGCGAACGGGAUUAGAUACCCCGGUAGUCCAUGCUGUAAACGAUGAGUGCUCAUAUUUAGAGAAAUUUAGAUAUUUUAAGAAGCUAACGCGAUAAGCACUCCGCCUGAAGAGUAUAAUCGCAAGAUUGAAAUUCAAAGGAAUUGACGGGAGUCUACACAAGCGGUGGAGCAUGUGGUUUAAUUCGAUAAUACGCGCAGAACCUUACCAAUUCUUGUAAAUAUUUUUAAAAUAUUUUUUAAAAAGUACAGGCGUUGCAUGGCUGUCGUCAGCUCGUGUUGUGAGAUGUUUGGUUUAUUCCCUUAACGAGCGAAACCCCUAUUUUUAGUUGCUAAUUUAUAUUAAAGAUUGACUCUUUUUAUAAAUGCACUUUAAAAAAAGUUAAUGACAUAUUAAUGGAAAUGGGGAUUACGUCAAGUCUUCAUGGCCCUUAUGAAUUGGGCUACACACGUGCUACAAUGAUAAAUACAAUGAGAGGCAAUAAUAAUAAUAAAUUGGAGCAAAUCUUUAAAAUUUAUCUUAGUUCGGAUUAUGGGCUGCAACUCGCCCAUAUAAAGUUGGAAUCGCUAGUAAUCGCAAAACAGCAUGUUGCGGUGAAUAUGUUAAUGGACUU